RNAcentral lists this long non-coding RNA (5297 nucleotides) under Mytilus galloprovincialis (Mediterranean mussel). Lineage: Eukaryota; Metazoa; Mollusca; Bivalvia; Mytilida; Mytilidae. The record is from RNAcentral.
CCAAACUAAAAUUACGUAUUUUUCUCAUUACCAGCUGUCAAAAUUGAAGUACUGAAUAACAUGUAUUUAAAUUCAAAUGAUUUUGUAAGUAUAAAGUGAUAAUAAGCUAGCAGGCUUGAAUCUGAUAACUGUAUUAAUUAUCAAUACACACUAUUGUAAGACAUUGAUCGCUUGUCUGUCUUGUAUUUCAGACAAUCAUCAAUAGAUCUCAAUAGUAUGUCAGCAGACAGUCACUCAACAAAUCUAGACAAAACUUUCAGGCAUUCAAUUUCAGAAUAUAUAUAUUCAUUUCAUGAUAAAACAUUUAAAAAAUCAACUGGUUUUACAAACAAAUUUUGAACAAUUGUUCUAUAUGUGCUUGUAAUUUCUAAGGGAUCUGUUUAAAAAAUGUCUCACAGACAAAUUGUUGGUGUAUAAUUGUAAUACAGUUAAACUGGGGGUUACAUGAAAAGGUCAACCUUGGACUCUGAAAAACUAUCCUUUUAAGGGGUGACCAUUAAUUGAGGCUCAAACCCAAUCUAUUAUUACAGUUGUACAUUAGAAGAGGGUGACCUUAAUAAAACCUCAGGUUUUUCCCUUUAGAGAAAAUUAUCUGAUAUCAAGUUUCAUGCAAAUCAGGUAAAUAAAUUAUAAUAUGAACAAUUUGGAAAUCUGAUUAUUCAGAAUAUACACUUAAAAAAUUAACAAAAUAUCCUAUGACGCAUCUUUUGACGCAAAAUGGGUGUCCAUUUAUCAUUAGCAACAAAAUAUGUACCCUUUUCUUUUUGUCUCGACAAUGCACAGCACUCAUUGCUUAAUAUCAUUAUCAAUAUGACAUAAGGCCAAUAUUUAAUAUAUGGAGAAAUGCACUACAAAUGAACUCAUCAUGGAUACUUCAGACUUAAAAUUUCCAUGCCAGACGCCUGAUUUGUCUACCGAGGACUCAUCAGUGACACGUAUACUAGUACUAUAUUACAUACUGUACUGUUUCCAUUCCUAUACCAUCUGCAUAUUGAGAAAUAAGUGUACCAUCUAACAAUGAUCCAUUUAUUUAACAAUGUUAUAUCACUUAAACAUGUAAUUAAAUUCAUCAUCUAUCUAGCAUGUAUAGAGUCUAGAGAGCAAGCAUAUGCAACACAUGGUUAGAUCAUUCAUGCCAUGUUAUUGAUAUUAUCAAAAUUAAAUACAAACUUUUAUGUCAGAAAGAUAAAAUUUCAAAUCGACAAGAAUAUAUGAUUAAAAAUUUCUGUUUGAGCAACUGUUUCAAACAUAAAUAUUUUUCUUUCAAAUUUUUCUGAGUAAACUGCAGAUCAAUGACCACAGACAGACAAUUAUUUUCAGACCAGAUGUCGAGUAGACGACAAUUAAUAUCUUUAAUUCUGUUACUUCCAUCACCUGUUACUUACGUACUUUAUUAAUAUUUAUGUAAAAAAUAAAACAUGUAUUGUGAAUUCAAUAAUUUCGUAAUCACCUAUUGUUGUGGAUUAAUGAAAAAUUGCACUUUUGUGGGUAUAUGGUUUCAUGGUUUAACUAAAGUCUGCUUACAUGUCUAUAGAAUGUUUCUAUUUCAACCUUUACCCAUGAAAUCUCAGAUAAUUGGUAUCAACAAUUAAUACCAAAUCCACAGUAAAUAUUGUUAAAAUGGCGGAAACGAUGAAAAUUGAUAAUGAAAAAAAAUAUCAUAUCCACAACAAAAAAAUGCAAUUAUUUUUUUUAAUAAAAAAUAUCAUUAACAAUAAUCUGAUAAGUGCUACUGCUCUUGUAUAGUACAAAUGUACAAGAUUCAGGCAAAGCAAAUUCUUAUACUACUAGGUAGCGUUCACAACACGAACAGCAGAAUCAAAAUGUUGUAUAUUUUUUUAUUUUACUUAUUUUAACUGUCAACUAGGAUUUUUUACCUCUGUAUUAUGAAGAUAGAAAAUGAAUAUCAAAUCCUUCUUUCUCUCCAUUUACAAUAAUAAGUGUUCAGACUAAACUAAUGGUGCCCUACUUGCAUUAGUAAUAAUAUCAAAUUUCCUUGUUCAGUGAACCAUGAAAUCUUGAUGAAACCCCUAACUUGACCUAUAUUUUUAGUUCAUAUUAUAAGAACAUGUGUACUUAUAAAGCUUCAGGUUGAUGUGACCACAACUUUAUGGUAUUCAAUCAUAACUUUAACCUGUUCAAUCAACCACAAAGUUUUGCUCAAAGCCAAAUUUGGCUUAUAUAUAUUUUUAAAAGUUCAAAUCAUAAUGUUGCAAGUUGACAGACUUGACCACAACUUCAUGAAUCAUGAUACAAAAAAUGUAUUAAACAAACUAAAACCAAAACUUUCCCAUGUUGUGCAAGAACCUAUAGAACAGCCUAAGAAACAGAUGCACCGGUAGACUAGUAAACAAUGAAACAAUAAUUUCUAACCACAUUGUCUUUGGUGGAUCCAGUGGAACCCCUCUUUUUUUUGGCUGAUCAAUACAUUUGAAUGGGGACAUUUAGUUGGACACCCCCCUUUUUGUCCUGGUUUGGGAACCCCCCUUUUUAAAAUGGCUGGAUUCGCCCUGAUAUGGUUGGAAACCCCCACUUUUGCAAAAUGACUGGAUUCGCCCCUGCAUUUUAAUGCUGUUUAAUAUAAUGCCUCAACAGAAGAAAAAAAACACUGUGGCAAGACCCUCUUUGGAAGUCAAGGUUGCUAAAAAAACCUUCUUGUAGUGUUACCAGCAGACAUUUCCUUUUUCUUUCCCCUCCCCUAGCUGCUUUGCUGGAGACUUAUAAAAUAUAUAUGAUGAAAUACAACAAGAAAGCAUGCUUUUUAUCUGUGAAAGAUUAAUGUAUUUUAUAUAUUUAUAGAUAACUGCUGCAAGGUUUCGUUUGAAGAUUCCAGCAACUAUGGUUGAAAUGAUAAUAUAAAAGACAAUGACAAUUAUUCCACAUCUCCUUUAUAUUGAUGAGACUGCAAGGUUUUCAAAGCAAUCGUCUGGAUGAAGAACAGCAAUGUUUUCCUCAGAUGUACUGACUGCUUCCUAAUAAAUAAAUGAACAGAUUUCUAGCAACAUAUAUCCUUCUUUCCCACUAUCCAAUCAAUAGCAUUAUCAACUCCAUGGACAGACAGUGGUGUAGCCAGGGUUGGAACGAUGUGGAUGUGAACUGUCGCAAAUUUUUCGGAAUUUUUUAUGUAGAAAAUUAAAUUUUUCCUGUAUGCAUGUCAGUGUAUUCCCCUGGAAUCCGACAUUGGUUAGAUUUUCGUUUAAUUUAAAAUUACACACCAGUAUACAUUAUAUUUCCAACAGAAUUUUAUGAACAAUACCAUCAUCAUUAAAUUCAGAAAUAUUUAAUGUAAAAGUUUCACACCAAAUCUUAUAUUUGACAUCUCAAAAACAAACCCAUUACUUCUGUAUAUGGAACUUCGGAAUAUAGGAACCGAAGAGACACCCCUCCUUUCCUGGAACUUGAGCCUCCCAAUGGGGUUUUUGAUUACUUGUCUUAACUCAUUGCUGCGAGAGGAUAUGGAAAUACCGGGCGUCCGUCCGUUCAGUCUUGUACAAUUCUUGCCAGAUUUUUGUGAAACUUAUAUCAUCAUGCAGCAAUGUCUUUCACACAUGCAAGUAUAAAUCCUUUCAAAUAUUUUUAGCCAAUAUAUAUGCCCUUUGGAAAUAUAAAUUAUAAACGCAAAUCUCAUUGUAUUUGUUUGGAAGCUUUUUCUCUCGAGAUAUAAAUUAAAAAUAGAAAAAGUGCUUUGUUUAGUUUUUGCCCUCUUGUACAUAAAAAUGUAUCUUGGAUGCGGGGGACAUUGGAUCUCUGAUCUUUUAUUGAAAACAACAUUCAUAUUUGUAUCUAGAUGGAAAGGGGUAUUCAUGAGUCCUGGAAUAAAAACACUUCAUUAAAAUUAGAGUCGUCGUCUUUCGUGCCAAAGGAAACGAUAUUAGGAUAUGAGUUUUCAGAGAUUUUUUAUCCAUCUUGUUUACAUAAAGGAAAAACCACGCAUACGGCUUCGGAAAUGAUUGGAAGCGAUUCUCCUAUUCUCAUAUACAUUCGGAUACUAUUAUGUGUAUAUGCUGUCAACUGUCAUUAUAUAAUUAUUAAAAACAUUUUUUUUUUGUCAAAUUGAUGUGGAUGCUUGAGCAUCUGAGCAUACAUGCAAGCUAUGCCACUGACAGAUAUGUGUUGAUGCCAACAUUUUCAUUCCUCUUAUUUCAACUUAAUAAACAUUAUUUUUUUCAAAUAUAAACUAACUACCCACAUGAUCUUAUUUCAUUCCAAAUCUAACGUUACGUUUCCUGCAUAAUGGUAUGUCUGUAUAUUUUACAUGCAAACAAAUGCAUAAAAUAGCAUGUGGGUGUUUAGUUAAAACAUUUCUCCUUGAUAAUUAUACUCUACCUAUCAAACACAGCUGAUUUUCACUUUGCUUGGUCUAUAAAUAGAAUCUAUCAUAAUAUAAAACAUUUAAGCUUUUAGAAAAGUAUUUGGUGGGACAUACCACAACAGGGAAUGGCAUAUGGAAUGGACAUAAGAAGGGCAUGUUAUGAAAACAAAAUUAUCAAAUUAAGCUAGUUAGAAAAUUUUCUGCAUUCCUUCAUUUCCUUUUGUACAAUUUGGAGGUUAGUAUGGCGUUCAUUACCACUGAACUAGUAUAUAUAUUUGUUUAGGGGCCAGCUUAAGGACGCCUCCGGGUGUGGAAAUUUCUCACUGCAUUGAAGACCUGUUGGUGACCUUUGGCUGUUGUCUGUUCUAUGGUCCUGUUGUUGUCUCUUUGACACAUUCCCAUGAUUUCCAUUCUCAAUUUUACUCUUUCUGAACUGAAAACAGUACAUAAAAAAAGACAGAGGACAACUGGUCAUGUGUAUAUAUUGGACUUGUGCAAGCAAUGAUCAUGGCAAUUGUACAUUUUAAUCUGCUGCAUUAUAAAUGCAUUCUGUACAUAUAUUUUUGUGGGUGCAAAUUUUCAGGCUUAAAUUUAAAUAUUGUUUGUUUGCCCUUUACCGACCGACCCUAUAAAUUCGUUCGGACUAAUUUGUAUUUACCUGCAAGAUUUUAUUUUAUUUUAUUUUUUUCGUUCCAACUGAAAAUCUAAUAUUUGUAUUUCCCGCUCAAAACUUUUUUUAAAGGAAUCAUUGGGUUUUAUCGUCCCUGUACAAGAUUUAGUCUGUUUGGUAUCAUGUGAGCGUUUGAUAUCAACACUUCCAUUUAGAGAUUCAAAGCAUUUAUUUGAAAUCGAUUUUGAAAGUUUCGAAAUCAUGCUAUGACGAAUGUUAACCCUGUGUCUUUAUACUUGAAGAGCAGGGUUCAUUCUAAAAAGCUCGUCCAAUACAAAAUUAUCAACGUGUGCACAAAAUAUUUUGUAAACGGAC